GUAUUUAAUCUCAAAAGAACCCCCUCCUAAGGGGCAGGUUACAGGUUCGAAUCCUGUCGGGAUCGCCA
This 68-nucleotide transfer RNA is filed under the name Marinovum sp. RNAcentral's name for it is "tRNA-Arg". It matches the Rfam family "tRNA". From Rfam's summary of the family: Transfer RNA (tRNA) molecules are approximately 80 nucleotides in length. Their secondary structure includes four short double-helical elements and three loops (D, anti-codon, and T loops). The record is from RNAcentral. Lineage: Bacteria; Pseudomonadati; Pseudomonadota; Alphaproteobacteria; Rhodobacterales; Roseobacteraceae.